CGACGCUGGCGGCGUGCCUUAAUCAUGCAAGUCGAGCGGACUGAUGGGAGCUUGCUCCCUGAUGUCAGCGGCGGACGGGUGAGUAACACGUGGGCAACCUGCCUGUAAGACUGGGAUAACUCCGGGAAACCGGGGCUAAUACCGGAUAAUUCUUUCCCUCACAUGAGGGAAAGCUGAAAGAUGGUUUCGGCUAUCACUUACAGAUGGGCCCGCGGCGCAUUAGCUAGUUGGUGAGGUAACGGCUCACCAAGGCAACGAUGCGUAGCCGACCUGAGAGGGUGAUCGGCCACACUGGGACUGAGACACGGCCCAGACUCCUACGGGAGGCAGCAGUAGGGAAUCUUCCGCAAUGGACGAAAGUCUGACGGAGCAACGCCGCGUGAGUGAUGAAGGUUUUCGGAUCGUAAAACUCUGUUGUUAGGGAAGAACAAGUACCGGAGUAACUGCCGGUACCUUGACGGUACCUAACCAGAAAGCCACGGCUAACUACGUGCCAGCAGCCGCGGUAAUACGUAGGUGGCAAGCGUUGUCCGGAAUUAUUGGGCGUAAAGCGCGCGCAGGCGGUUCCUUAAGUCUGAUGUGAAAGCCCCCGGCUCAACCGGGGAGGGUCAUUGGAAACUGGGGAACUUGAGUGCAGAAAAAAA
This 644-nucleotide ribosomal RNA is filed under the name Cytobacillus firmus. RNAcentral describes it as "bacterial SSU rRNA". It matches the Rfam family "Bacterial small subunit ribosomal RNA", at positions 31 to 658 of the family's 1533-position model. The record is from RNAcentral. Lineage: Bacteria; Bacillati; Bacillota; Bacilli; Caryophanales; Bacillaceae.